GGAUGAAAAUUCAAACUAAAGUUCUGGCUCCCCCCGGCUCCUACCCCCAAUAGUAGUGUAUGUGAUGGAUGCUCUACGGCAAAUAAUAUUCCUACUCCUACAGAAAACUGAUAUAAUGAUGGAUCUUUAAUUAUUUAUCAAUAUUUGUUGUGUAUUAUAAUGUGAGAUUAUUUUUCAAUCACAAAACUAAGAUACUAGCUACCCAUGAUGAUCUUUUUUCUCUUUAUAUUUGUGUUUUCCAUUAAUCAAAUAGAAUCUAGAAUCAUGCUCAUGUCUAGUGGUUCUUUUAUAAUUAAUCUUCUUGUUCUGCUGCUGUAUGAAUCAUAAUGAACACUCAUUUUUUAAUUUAAUUUAUACAACCAAAUUUAUGCAUUGAUUGUGGAGCUGCGAAAUUUGUAUCAUAUGGGAAUGAAAGUCCUCAAAUGGCAUAUCAUCCAUUAUUUUGCAGUGUUAGUGCCUUUUGACAUUUGAUCCUGUUGUCAUUGAAGUAUUUAACACACAUACACACACAUAUAUCUAAAAUCUUUCGAGAAAACAUUGUACCAUAUACAGGCUAUCUUGCUUCUUUGGACAUGUUUGUUUUUGUAGAUUGAUUUGACUAAUGUUUUCUCUAAGGUUUGGUGCUUCCAAAAGAUAAUAUAAACAUGUUGUAAAAAAUUGAUUUAGUUGAUGGUUGAAUGGGAUGGCUUCUGCAGUAGGUUAAGUAACAAGAACCAAGAUUGCUUUGAUGGUUGGCCUCCUAAGUGUCCUUGGCAAUUGAGAUUUUUGUGCACAUAGAUGCUUGUGUGUUUGUCUUUCUACAUGUCUUUUCACUCUCUUUCUCUUUCGUCCUCCCUCCCAUUAUACCUUGAGUUUGAUAUAGUUAUAUGGUUAUUCUUG
Molecule: unclassified non-coding RNA, 879 nt
Filed under: Hevea brasiliensis (rubber tree)
Lineage: Eukaryota; Viridiplantae; Streptophyta; Magnoliopsida; Malpighiales; Euphorbiaceae
Source: RNAcentral